CGCGAUCCGCUUAUUCAUCUCCCACAUCGAUUCGAUUCGAUCCCCCAUUCCCAUCCGAAACCGAAACCCUAACUCCGCUCCGCCCCGCCCCGCCCGGCCCUGUUCCUCGCCUUCGCCCUCGCCCCCCGCCCCAAGACUGUCCUAAGUAGGCGUUCGAUCGCUUACAUCGAGGGUCGUUUCCGUCUUCCUCCGGAGCUCCGACUAGGGCUUCGAAGAUAUCUGUUUCGAGCCAUUUGCUUCUGGUGACAUACCAUCGAGCUCGUGUCUUGUUCGAUGCAAUUCUUACCGGGUUGUCAUAUGAUCGUUGUUCAUUUUCUCCAAUCCAAAUGAUCGAGUAUAUGCCGUAGUCGACUAGGAUGGACGCCAAUGAAAGCAACGCGAUUGCCGUUCACAAUCCGAGAGCCCGGAAGUUGCGAUCAUUGGUCUGGAAUGAUUUCACUAAGGAGCGCAAGGCCGAUGGGAGCUACGUCGCCGUAUGCAACCACUGCAAGAAGCAGCUCACGGCGAGCAGCCGGAGUGGGACGACGCAUCUGAAGAACCACCUGGUGAUUUGCACAUCUACCAAGCGGAUCAAGCGCAAGAAGCUGGUCGUCCGCCGGCUCGUCCUCACGUCGAGCGACGCCAAGAGUGAGGGUGUUCUGAGUUCCGAUCACUCCCAGUUUGAUCAGGAGGCGAGCCGGCAAGAUCUCGCCCGCAUGGUCAUUCUGCAUGGGUAUCCGUUCAACAUCGUCCAUCAUGUCGGCUUCAGGACAUUUGUUAGGAAUCUUCAGCCACUCUUUAAAUUGGUGUCCGCCGAUGUCGUGAAGGCAGAUUGCAUGAAGAUGUACGAGAAUGAGAGGCUGAGGUUGCAUGAAGUACUAGACAGGCUACAUUCUCGGGUCAGCCUCAAUGUCGAUGUGUGGAGGUCGAAUGAGGAUGUAGAGUAUGCUUGUGUGUCGUGCCACUAUGUUGAUAAUGAUUGGAGGCUUAAGAAGAAGAUCCUUAACUUUGCUCAUGUCGGAUGUCCAGAGAAGGAACAAGAAAUCAGUAAAAUUAUAUUGGAGAAGUUGCAGGAGUGGAAUAUCGAUGGGAAGCUAUGUAGCAUAGUUCUCGACAAUUGUAGAACCAGUGAUUUGGUGGCAAGUGAGCUUCUUGGAUCCCUUCGUAUGAAGGGUUUCCUUAUUUCAAAUGGUGAUCUAUUCUAUGCCCGAUCUUGUGGUCAUUUGCUGAAUCUUGUUGUCCAGAAAGGCCUCGAAUUGGCUUGUGAAAUCAUUGAUAGAGUCCGUGCUUGCGUGCAAAAUGUAAAAUCCUCACAAGACAGGCUAGCAAGAUUUCAGAAAGAUGCCGAGCAAAUGGGCAUCCCACAAAAGCCAUUAGUUCUUGAUGCUCCAGCUAGUUGGCCAUCAACAUACUUCAUGCUUGAAACUGCAUGUCAAUAUCAAGAGGCUUUUAAGAACUUAGCAGAGAAUGAUGUGGAAAACACAUGCUUUCUUUCACCGAAGGAUUGGAGUGAUGUUAGAGCUAUUGUUGGGUGUCUACAAGUGCUUUACAAUGAUGCUAUGGUCAAGUUUUCUGCUGCAGGAGUCCCAACUUCCAAUCUAUUUUUUAGAGAUAUGUGUGGUAUUCAUUUGCUAUUGAAGUCCUGGUGCAGUAGCCCGCAGCCUUUUGUUGCGUCAAUGGCCAAAGAGAUGCUUGAGAAAUUUGAACAGUAUUGGGAUUUAACUAGAAUGCCAAUGGCAAUCGCUUCUGUUUUAGAUCCUCGAUAUAAGAUGAAGCCAGUUGAAUACUUCUUCAAUCGAAUUUAUGAUGAUGCAUCUGAAGCCAAGACAAAGAUCGAUAAUGUUCGUGACAGCUUUGUAAAUCUGUACAAUGAAUAUAUAGGCCAGUCUGCUAAUUCUUCAAAAAACCAAGCCUCCUAUGGUGGAAAUAGUAGUAGCUAUGACGGUGCUGACCAUGGGAAUGGUGCAGAAUGUAAAUCUUCUCGUGUCACACUAUCUGACACACAACGUGGGUUGGAUCAGUAUCUUAAAGAGACGUCAUCAGGUCAUCCAGCAAGAUCUGAUCUGGAUAUGUACUUGGAAGAAGCUGUUCAUCCCUCAAAAAGUCUUGAUGACAAUUUUGAUAUCUUAGCUUGGUGGAAAUAUAAUGCUGCCAAAUAUCCUGCUCUUUCUAUGAUGGCUCGUGAUAUUUUAGCAAUUCCUAUUUCAGUAGUUCCGUUAGACAGUGAAGCGAGAUCAUUAAAUCACUAUUUAAGUGCGACCGAUGCAGUGAUUGUAGAAUGCUUGAUAUGUGCACAAGAUUGGAUAGGAGAUGAAACAGAGGUGUCGCCAGUGAACACCCUUGCACUUGUUUCUUCGGCUGCUAGCUUUGAGGGCCAUGGUGAUGAGUACUUGUUACCUGCUGAUGGUGAUUAGUUUUCACCAAUGUGAAGCAGGAACUGUAGCAUUUUAAGGCAACUGAAAGACAGAAUGAUUAUUGACUCCACAUGCUGACUCACAAAGCCGAAUCUUGUAGUUCUUCUACUCUUCUCACAUGUGUAUCAAGAAGAACCAGUUCGGACCAGUUCGAUGGGCAUUGUAAUUUAUUGUGCUAUCUAUUCUGGCCUUAUUUAACAAAUGCAUAGACUUGUCCAUCUUGCAAGUAUAAAAGCUAUUCGGGGUCCAUCUUGCAAGCAUAAAACCUAUUCGGGAUAUAUAGUCUUCGUCAUCUUUUGUUGUCUCUGCAAGCAUUAUCUGAUCAAUGACUCAGAACUCUCACUUGAAGGGAACCUGUCAAUCAAUUGGAUAUUGCAUGCUGUGGUGGAUCGUCAAAGAGGUCAUGAAGCCCUUGGUCCCCAGAAGCUGUAGAUGCUUGUACUUGCAUGAAGGAAAUAUAUGUUGAGAUAACAACAGAUAAUUAUAAGUCUCAAGUCGCCACAGCUACAUAUUUUGAGGUAACAAAACAUUUACAUUAGAUUGGACUUGUUUGUUGAUUUUCUCUGAUGGCAUUAGCACGAGAAACACACAUGCAAACCCUGCAAGUUGAAGAUGUGCAUGUUCAUUCAUUCAUAUCAUAUAAAUAAGAAGUACAUGCACCAAAUCAAAUUGUAAAGGCAUGUGUAGUAAGUUUUUUUGCUCUGAAUAGAAUUUAUGGCCGAAUUCUACCUUGGGUUUUUGUGAA
RNA transcript from Musa acuminata AAA Group (dessert banana), 3138 nucleotides. It is a transcript of the gene named zinc finger BED domain-containing protein RICESLEEPER 1-like, with no coding region annotated. The transcript is spliced from 5 exons. The record is from RefSeq and is a predicted model, not a curated record. NCBI's taxonomy places the organism in Eukaryota, Viridiplantae, Streptophyta, Magnoliopsida, Zingiberales, Musaceae.